This 794-nucleotide unclassified non-coding RNA is filed under the name Hevea brasiliensis (rubber tree). The record is from RNAcentral. Lineage: Eukaryota; Viridiplantae; Streptophyta; Magnoliopsida; Malpighiales; Euphorbiaceae.
UGUUCCAAAUGGGGUGAAGAAUCUAAGCCAACAGAGAAUAAAGGGAGUAUGGGAACACUGAUAAGGAAGGAUUUCAUGGUCCAGUCUCUAAAUGAGGACCAGUAGAGAGUUUGGAUUCAACAUCUUUGUGAUUGCAUCUUUGUCAAGAUGGUAAAUGGACUCUUAGCAAGAGAAGAUUGAAGUGAUGCAAUAAAAAUACCUCUUAGAAUGGUUGCAGGAAAUGGAAUGGGAAAAUCUCUUUUCAAUUCAGUGGGUGAACCCUGUAAAGCAUCUUAUACCAUUCUUGCAAUACUACGAGGCCAUAAGUGCUCACCAGAUGUAGCUAGUAUCUUACGAGAAGAAACACAAAUUUUCCAUGUCUGGAUGCUCUCAUGGGGUAAGAUUAACCAAUUCAUUCUUACUCUAGAUAUUUCAUAUCAUAUCAAAGGGUUUAUUCUCUUUUGGAAAAAAUUUAAGAAGAAGAAAAAAGAGUUGGUAGAAAAGAAAGUACAAAUUAUGGUGAAUGUUAUGAAUUUCUGGGGAAAGGUUGUGAUUUUGAGUUUGGAUUUCCUGUUGUUAUACUUUGAAAGAAAAGAAGUAUGAAAAAUGAAGAAGAUAGAGAAUGAAAAUGAAGUUUCAUGGGUGAAGCUAAUUUUCCUGAUUUUUUUUUUCCUGCUUCCUUGAGGACAAGGAAAUUAUUGAGUCGGAGGCAUUGAUAAGUUGCGUUUGAAGGCAGUUAUGUUGUUGCAGUUUGUUACAUGGGCAAAAAGGAAGAGAAGUUAGUGAGCUUUCUGUUGUAUAACUGUAAAUGUUAG